RNAcentral lists this ribosomal RNA (190 nucleotides) under uncultured Glomeromycotina. Its description in RNAcentral is "partial 18S ribosomal RNA". It matches the Rfam family "Eukaryotic small subunit ribosomal RNA", at positions 686 to 873 of the family's 1831-position model. The record is from RNAcentral. Lineage: Eukaryota; Fungi; Glomeromycota.
GGUCUCACUGAUUCCUCCUUCCUGAUGAACCUUAAUGCCAUUAAUUUGGUGUUUUGGGGAAUUUGGACCGUUACUUUGAAAAAAUUAGAGUGUUUAAAGCAAGCUAACGCUUGAAUACAUUAGCAUGGAAUAAUGAAAUAGGACGUUCGAUCCUAUUUUGUUGGUUUCUAGGAUUGACGUAAUGAUUAUA